UUUCUUUGAAGAAAAAAAAUAAAGCUGCAGCCUGCAAGGCUUCCCAGAACCAUCAUUUCUUGGCUGGGUUAGGAGGAGAGGUUCUACUGUUUCUGUCCAGGUCACUUCUCAGCACCUUAUACCCCAGCAUUUAGCCCAACUAGUCAACAAUUCUGACUGAGCACAGAAGUUCUUCGCUGAUGAUGGAGCUCUAAAAAGCCACUUGGUUCAAACCCUCCAUCCUUCUUGGAUCUCACUUGAGAACUUAGAUGAGAAAACUGAAGGUCUGGAUGAUGACCUUAGUCCAAAGUCACAGAGAUAGUUAGCAGUGGAGCCCCUCCUGGCACCUCACCUGAGUCUUUUCUGUUGGCCUCUACCACUAGUGAGCCAGAAGUUUACAUAGGAAAAGUAAGAGUUUGUGUUUCCUUUGCAGUACAGAAAUAAAUUGAAGCCAUUUUGAGAGAGACAAGAGAUUCUUGUGAAAUCAACACUUUGAAUUCUUUCAAGAAACUAUGGGAUAACAGAAUGUACCUCCACAUCUUGCCUGCGCUAUAACUAGCCUUCAAAAUUGGACCCCAUCAUCCUCUCGUAGAAGUCUUUACUGUUACCACAAGUUAUUUCAACAUGAGUUCCAGCAUUGUAAAAGUGGGAGAUGAAGGCUGAUUCUCUCCUCUGAGAUCAGUUGAAACAUGGAGAUCAUGGUGCUAAUGACUUUUCUAUUCAAUUGUUUCCAAGAGUUCGAAAGACAAGUCUUUUAGGGAUUUUCUGGUUUCCAAAGUCAUAUUAACAAUGGCAAUAUAUUUUCCUUGUGCUGCCAUGUUGUGUGUGGAAAAAAUUACACAAACAAAGAUACCUGAUUUCCAUUUGGCAUAGCUGUAUGGAAUAGUGAACUGUGAUAAAUUGUCAUCAUUGA
This is a long non-coding RNA of Antechinus flavipes (yellow-footed antechinus), 892 nucleotides long. RefSeq lists it as uncharacterized. The transcript has 5 exons. The record is from RefSeq and is a predicted model, not a curated record. Lineage: Eukaryota; Metazoa; Chordata; Mammalia; Dasyuromorphia; Dasyuridae.